UACGAAGGGGGCUAGCGUUGCUCGGAAUCACUGGGCGUAAAGGGUGCGUAGGCGGGUCUUUAAGUCAGGGGUGAAAUCCUGGAGCUCAACUCCAGAACUGCCUUUGAUACUGAGGAUCUUGAGUAUGGGAGAGGCGAGUGGAACUGCGAGUGUAGAGGUGAAAUUCGUAGAUAUUCGCAAGAACACCAGUGGCGAAGGCGGCUCACUGGCCCAUUACUGACGCUGAGGCACGAAAGCGUGGGGAGCAAACAGG
RNAcentral lists this ribosomal RNA (253 nucleotides) under uncultured bacterium. RNAcentral's name for it is "partial 16S ribosomal RNA". It matches the Rfam family "Bacterial small subunit ribosomal RNA", at positions 524 to 776 of the family's 1533-position model. The record is from RNAcentral.